This is a long non-coding RNA of Hyla sarda, 1314 nucleotides long. RefSeq lists it as uncharacterized. The record is from RefSeq and is a predicted model, not a curated record. NCBI's taxonomy places the organism in Eukaryota, Metazoa, Chordata, Amphibia, Anura, Hylidae. The transcript has 5 exons.
UGUGUGGAAAAGCCUUGUGGGGUGUAGGUUAGUUGGGGUGUUGCUGUUCUAGAUACUGAAAGGGCACUGUUAACCCUUGUCACUCGUGACGCCAGGGUGGGGGUUAAACUCUAAUGUUGCUGGGCCUAUCGCCACCCUUCCCAAAAGCGAUAGGUGCAUGCGUAAUAAUUAGAUUGUCCACAACCACUGUUGAACUUAAAACUUGCAGGAACUUUUACUGAAGAAUUUCUGAAGCAGGCAAUAUCAAUAACAGUCCAGAUAACAAAGUCCAUUUAUAACUGGGCAGCGAUUGACAGUUGGUUGGGAUCAGAUAAGCUUAAUGUAGCUUCUCGUAGACUCUGUAGCAUAGAUCCGCUGGAUUUAGGGGAGCGUUUAGGUCCAGUGAUCUUGCAGAGAUAACGGGGAAUUGUAAAGUCUAAUAGUCUCUAGCAUAGGCUGCGGCCGCAAGGCUUUGGGCCUAGUUCUUGUCUUUGGAAGUUGCGGAGGUCCUACCUCAUCCAGAGUCAGCAACCCAAGAGAGCGAUCAAGAUGGCGCAGCUCCCUUAUAUGGGCAGGGGCUGGCUGUUUUGGAUUGGUCCAUAACAACUGUCACUCACCGUUACAUUGUAUUGUGGGUGAACACGUGACAUGAGAACCACCAAAGGUCCUUCAGCAAACCAUAGAGUUCUGAACUAAGUCACAUAACCCGCAGGUCCUGCGACGCGAACAAGUUGCUCCACCCAUUGAAGCAGACAGCAUUCCUGUCAUUACCUGACUAGUGAUGUCACGUCUCGAUGCACUGCAACCUGGGAAAAGCCGAGACCUGAGCAAUUUUGUAUGGUGUUAAAAAUAAAUAUUUGGGCGAAUAUCACAGAAGAAUUGUGAGACCAACGUCACACACAGGGAGAAUGGAUCACUGAUGCAAUGGCUUUUCAGGGUGCUUUAUGAGCGGAAAUGUAAAAGCCAGCACAACAAGGUCGGGGUUACACUAAGCAUUGAAAUGUUGCUGCAAAAAUAAACAGACGGUUCACGAAAACCUGACCGGUGACAUCAUUGAUCUGGAACAGGCCAAUUUCUGGGGCUUCAUCCACUCCAGGCCCGCUGAUAAGAUACCGGAUGGAGUGGUUCUGUGAUCUGUCAUUGAAGAGCUGCAAACAUAAAACAAUGAAACAACUUUGGGCUAGUUACAGAUCCACUAUAGCAUAUUUUGGAAAGGGUCCUGGGUCAUUCUCCUGUAGUACUAUUGUGGUCAGGACCCAUCUUCUCUUGGAACGUCGCAGUGGGCGAAGGCUGUCUGGUGUAUCUACAUGCUGUAUAGAAAAAAUAACAGCUAUC